RNAcentral lists this ribosomal RNA (2022 nucleotides) under Triticum aestivum (bread wheat). RNAcentral's name for it is "partial small subunit ribosomal RNA". Lineage: Eukaryota; Viridiplantae; Streptophyta; Magnoliopsida; Poales; Poaceae. The record is from RNAcentral.
UCGUUGGGGAAAACUAGUGUACCGAUCGUCACGUUGCGAUUUUUCUUCACUUUCCCAUUUUGCCCUCCCUCUCGCUCUCUCGCCGACCGCUUGCAGCUCUCACUCUCUCCCUGACCACUCGCUCUCUCUCCCCGACAGCUCUCGCUGUCUCCGACCCCGACCGCUCGCCCUCUCGUCGGCCAGUCGCUCGCCGGCCAGUCGCCACCCUCUCCCUCUCGUCGGUGUCUUCCUCACCGCAGUCUUGCACCUCACCACCCAUAACCCUAGCAGCCCGCCUCCCUCUCGUCGGUGAAAGGUGACAUUUUUACCAGUUGGGGUGCUCGAUUCGUGGCGGCGGUGCUCGAUCCGUGGGCGGCGGUACUCGAUCCGUGCUGGAGCAGCGGGAGGAGGAGGCCAAGGUGGAGAUCGUGGUGCGGGAGGGGGAGCUCGGCGAGACGGCGGCUGGAUCUGAAGCGCGGCUGCUCCACCUUCCUCAGGGUGGCGGGGAUCUCCGACUCGCUGCAGAGGAGAAGGGCCCGACCGCUGGCGUCAUCCGCCGCUUCCUCAGGGUUGGCGGCGGCGGGCUGUGUUCCGGCGGGAGGGCGGCACGUUCAAGGUGCUGCAGGUGGCGGACAUGCACUACGCGGACGGGCGGAGCACCGCGUGCGAGGACGUGAUGCCCGAGCAGGUCGCCGGCUGCUCCGACCUCAACAUCACCGCCUUCCUCUACCGCGUCAUCCGCACCGAGGACCCCGACCUCGUCAUCUUCACGGAAGUGCCAUGCAAUGGUGGAGUAAUCCCCAAAGAAAUAAGAAAUCAGAAGCAUGAGCUGCACUGAAAUUGGGUCUAGGUAGUUGCUCAUCCGCCGGGGUUUCAGUUAAUCGAUUGGUCUGUCCAUCCAGGACGAAGAUGAAAUGGUCUGAUUGAUCACGACUGCCUCCACAUGGAGGUAAAACACAAACAGGAAAGAUGCAAUAGUAGCCGCCUUUGUGAUUAUCUUCAGGUUACUGUCCUGUUUUCGUCGUCUUGUUUCACGGGCGAUCUUGGUGAUCUUUCCAAGGCUGAUCAAUUUCUUCAGAGAAGACGUCCUGGUCAAUCACCACAUCUGAUCAAUUUCUGUCUGUGGCGAGAAGAAGUGGUACAACUCCGGCGAUCAAUUUCUUUGGCGAUUAACAGUUUUGAUCAAUUCAAACAGCAGCACAGGCGGCGCACGGGCGGGGAGGAGCACAGGCUGCUGCUGUUGGUCAGUGCGGGAAGGAGCACGGGCAGAGGUCAAUUGGCCGGAUCCGGAGCUCCAAUGCCUGAAUCGAGGAGCUGGAAGGCUGAGGCAGGAGGAGGAGCACAGGCUGCGAUGCUGCUGCUGUUGGUCAGUGCGGGGAGGAGCACGGACGGAGGUCAAUUGGCCGGAUCCGGAGCUCCAGUGCCUGAAUCGAGGAGCUGGAAGGCUCAGGCAGGAGGAGGAGCACGGGCGGCGCUGCUGCUGGUCGGUGCAGGGAGGAGCACGGGUGGCGCGGAGGCCAGGAGUCGCGGGCGGCUGGAGGCUGUGGCGGACGGCGAGGGAGUUGCGUAUGAGUUUGGGCUCUCAAUUGGAGCGGAGGAAGGCGGCCGGCGAGGGAGCUGCGGGCGGAUGCCGGAGCUGCAGCAGUGGGGUGGAGCCUGGCGGAGGGGAGGAGCGAUGGAGGAAGACGAAGAUCCCCGGCGACAAGAAUUUCAAAUUGAGGGUAGUUUGGUACUUUUUCCUGUUUUCACCUGGUCGGAGAAGUUCCCCAACGACAACUAUUUUGGAACAGAGGGAGUAUAUGUUUCUAUAGAGUACUUCGUUUUUGUACUAUACGCUUGACAAAAUGAUUUCCUUAUAAGCUGCGAUAAGGUGUUUGUAGUUGGUAUUUGUACUACAAGCUCAAUUUUGUGGUUCAUCUCAUCUCUGGUUAUUUUUUUUAUUUAUGUAGCAUAUUAUCAUUAGCUUAUAACUUUGGCAGAGAAGACUAUGUUAUAACACUAAGAUUAUCAGGAAAAGAUUCAGAGCUUUUGCUGAACCCAGAU